RNAcentral lists this ribosomal RNA (539 nucleotides) under Scaphoideus sculptus. RNAcentral's name for it is "partial large subunit ribosomal RNA". It matches the Rfam family "Eukaryotic large subunit ribosomal RNA", at positions 2337 to 2737 of the family's 3401-position model. The record is from RNAcentral. Lineage: Eukaryota; Metazoa; Arthropoda; Insecta; Hemiptera; Cicadellidae.
CUCUGUCCCUAUCUACUAUCUAGCGAAACCACUGCCAAGGGAACGGGCUUGGAAAAAUCAGCGGGGAAAGAAGACCCUGUUGAGCUUGACUCUAGUCUGGCACUGUAAGGAGACAUGAGAGGUGUAGCAUAAGUGGGAGACGGUAUCCAUCCCGUCGCCGGUGAAAUACCACUACUUUCAUCGUUUCUUUACUUACUUGGUUAGGCGGAGGGCGUACGUCGAGGGUAUUUCGCCCCGGCGUUACGGUCUUCUCGCGCCAAGCGUUCAAGGGUUGCCGGCGGACAGGGUGCGGGCCGCUCGUCGGCGAGUCGUGUAACCUGGCUUGCCAGGCCACGGCCCGGCUGUGGCUGCGGCAUCUCUGCCACCGACCGGCAAACACUCCCUAGCGUGAUCCGAUCCGAGGACACUGCCAGGCGGGGAGUUUGACUGGGGCGGUACAUCUGUCAAAGAAUAACGCAGGUGUCCUAAGGCCAGCUCAGUGAGGACAGAAACCUCGCGUAGAGCAAAAGGGCAAAUGCUGGCUUGAUCCCGAUGUUCAG